CCUACGGGUGGCUGCAGUGAGGAAUAUUGGUCAAUGGACGAGAGUCUGAACCAGCCAAGUAGCGUGAAGGAUGACUGCCCUAUGGGUUGUAAACUUCUUUUAUAUGGGAAUAAAAUGUUCCACGUGUGGGAUUUUGUAUGUACCAUAUGAAUAAGGAUAGGCUAACUCCGUGCCAGCAGCCGCGGUAAUACGGAGGAUCCGAGCGUUAUACGGAUUUAUUGGGUUUAAAGGGAGCGUAGGUGGAUUGUUAAGUCAGUUGUGAAAGUUUGCGGGUCAAACGUAAAAUUGCAGUUGAAACUGGCAGUCUUGAGUACAGUAGAGGUGGGCGGAAUUCGUGGUGUAGCGGUGAAAUGCUUAGAUAGCACGAAGAACUCCGAUUGCGAAGGCAGUUCACUGGACUGCAACUGACGCUCAUGCACGAAAGUGUGGGUAUCGAACAGGAUUAGAUACCCCAGUAGUC
This 460-nucleotide ribosomal RNA is filed under the name uncultured bacterium. RNAcentral describes it as "partial 16S ribosomal RNA". It matches the Rfam family "Bacterial small subunit ribosomal RNA", at positions 338 to 795 of the family's 1533-position model. The record is from RNAcentral.